RNAcentral lists this ribosomal RNA (504 nucleotides) under uncultured bacterium. Its description in RNAcentral is "partial 16S ribosomal RNA". It matches the Rfam family "Bacterial small subunit ribosomal RNA", at positions 28 to 523 of the family's 1533-position model. The record is from RNAcentral.
GACGAACGCUAGCGGCGUGCUUUAAGCAUGCAAGUCGUGGGGCAGCAAGAUUGUAGCAAUACAAUUGUUGACGACCGGCAAACGGGUGCGGAACACGUACACAACCUUCCUACAAGUGGGGAAUAGCCCAGAGAAAUUUGGAUUAAUACCCCGUAACAUAGCGAUGUGGCAUCACAUUGCUAUUAUAGCUUCGGCGCUUGUUGAUGGGUGUGCGGCUGAUUAGAUAGUUGGCGGGGUAACGGCCCACCAAGUCUACGAUCAGUAGCUGAUGUGAGAGCAUGAUCAGCCACACGGGCACUGAGACACGGGCCCGACUCCUACGGGAGGCAGCAGUAAGGAAUAUUGGACAAUGGACGCAAGUCUGAUCCAGCCAUGCCGCGUGAAGGAUUAAGGUCCUCUGGAUUGUAAACUUCUUUUAUAAGGGACGAAAAAAGGUCUUUCUAGAUCGUCUGACGGUACCUUAUGAAUAAGCACCGGCUAACUCCGUGCCAGCAGCCGCCGCAG